CACACUGGAACUGAGACACGGUCCAGACUCCUACGGGAGGCAGCAGUGGGGAAUAUUGGACAAUGGGCGAAAGCCUGAUCCAGCCAUGCCGCGUGUGUGAAGAAGGUCUUCGGAUUGUAAAGCACUUUAAGUUGGGAGGAAGGGUUGUAGAUUAAUACUCUGCAAUUUUGACGUUACCGACAGAAUAAGCACCGGCUAACUCUGUGCCAGCAGCCGCGGUAAUACAGAGGGUGCAAGCGUUAAUCGGAAUUAUUGGGCGUAAAGAGCGUGUAGGCGGUUCGGUAAGUCUGCCGUGAAAACCCAGGGCUCAACCCUGGGCGUGCGGUGGAUACUGCCGGGCUAGAGGGUGGUAGAGGCGAGUGGAAUUCCCGGUGUAGCGGUGAAAUGCGCAGAUAUCGGGAGGAACACCAGUAGCGAAGGCGGCUCGCUGGGCCACACCUGACGCUGAGACGCGAAAGCGUGGGGAGCAAACAGGAUUAGAUACCCUGGUAGUCCACGCCGUAAACGAUGAACACUAGGUGUGGGCGGAGUCGAAUCUGUCCGUGCCGAAGCCAACGCGAUAAGUGUUCCGCCUGGGGAGUACGGCCGCAAGGCUAAAACUCAAAAGAAUUGACGGGGACCUGCACAAGCGGUGGAGCGUGUGGUUUAAUUCGACAGCAAGCGAAGAACCUUACCAAGAAUUGACAUCUCUGGAAAGCCCUGGAGACAGGGCCGUGCCGCAAGGAGCCAGAUGACAGGUGUUGCACGGUUGUCGUCAGCUCGUGCUGUGAAGUGUCCCGUUCAGUCGGUUAACGAGCGCAACCCUCAUCCUGUGUUAUAUUUUUCACAGGAAACUGCCCCAGUUAAUGGGGAGGAAGGUGAGGGCGACGUCAAAUCAGCGUGACUCUUACGUCUUGGGCGACACACGCGCUACAAUGGGAAGUAACAAUGGGUUGCCAG
Molecule: ribosomal RNA, 939 nt
Filed under: uncultured bacterium
Lineage: Bacteria
Description: bacterial SSU rRNA
Rfam family: Bacterial small subunit ribosomal RNA
Source: RNAcentral